CCUGCCGGCUGCCGGGGCCAAGGGAAAGGGGCGUGGAGGGAGGUGACCUGUGGAGGGGCGGGGACGAAGGUGUCUCCUGUGGGCUCUGGGGGAGGCUGCGUGCUAAUGGGUGGGGCUGUGGGGCGGGGAAGUCGCUGAGGGCUUUGGAGUCUCCCGCGCCUAGUCCACUGUCCUCGGCGUUGGGACUCUUCAGCCCGCGGAGCUUGCGACGCAGGACCGGGGAGAGAGAGGCGGGACGGGCGCUCCCUCUCCCAACCCCAUCGCCCCCACGGAGCUGUCGCGAAGCCCGCCCGCUUGUGGCUUGUUGACCACGCCACUCUCCUAAAAAUGCUCUUCCUCAGCUGUGCUACCUUUGCCCUGACCCGAGGAGCGGCGGGGGUUGGAAGGCAGAGAAAGGAGGGCGGUUACCCGAGUCCCUUAAAAAUGGAGCAAAACGGGAGAAAAUCGAAAGAGACAGGAAGUUAAAAGCUGUUGAAAACUGGUUUGUUUGCAGUGUGAAUUAAGUUUAACUACUCUGCCCCUUUGAGACCAGAGACGGUGGACAGAUAGUCCUCUUCCUCUCUCCUUGUCCCCUUCACUCCGCCCAGGAAUUUAGAGGUAAAUGUGAUUUAAAGUGCUAGACAGAUGCAAGCACGCCUGGGGAAGAGUUAGAGAUGGUGGAAGAAAGUGACAACGUCUGGUAAAGCACACUCCUAAACUUGUGACACAAAUUGUCACCGGGAAAGACACGUCCUGAACCUUCUCCCCAGUCACUCCACCAAGUGGUCUGCCCAGGCGGAUGCAGAUAGAACAGCCGCACGCACUUGAGCGUGUGGCUGCGCUCUUUCCCCUGUAGUCCGCAACCGGUGAUUUCCAGAAGCUCUGUUCUUGUAACUCACCAGCCCACGGAGCAAACUCAAGUUUUUUGAAAACUGAUUUGUAGAGCUAGUCAUGUCAGCAGCAGAUGGAUGUUUUCAGGGACAUAAUCUGUGACUGAUUAUGUUUACAACUUUUCUGCCUUGAUCUAAACUCUAGAAAGUGGCCUCUACUGUAGCAUAGCAGUUAGGUACAAUUGUUAGGAUCCUUGUCACUAAAGACAGCAAGGAAAAGCUAUCACGUUCCAUCUAGAAGUUCAAUCUGUAGUGAUAAAAAUAAUGUGUUACUCUGUGCUAGCACUGCUGUAUCUUGCAUAUAUUUAUUAACUCAUUUAUAGAUUUUUACAAAAACUGAUUUAUAGGUUCUUGUAGAAAUACUGGCAUCUGUGUACAAAGAGAUGUAAAUGUUUAUUUCAGCCUUGUCUAUAAUAGGAAAAAAUAAGUCCAAACCACCUAAGUGUCUAUCAAUACAGGAUGAUUAAGCUUAAGAUACCAAAAUACUAUAGUUAAUUAUGUUAUUGUUUGAAAGAUUGAAUAUGAUAGAAUAUAUUGAAUUAUUAAUAAUAAAAUAUAUUGGUACACUUCCAGGUACUAAUGCUGCAUUGCGAAUUACGCCCACAAGGUAGUGGUAAAAAACAACCAUUUAUUAUGCUGACAGAUUCUGUGCGUCAGGAAUUGAGAUAGCACAGCAGGUAUGACUUUUUUUCUGCUCCCUUAUGCAUAGGGCCUCAACUGGAAGGCUGAAGAUUGAAAUCCUCUGAAAAGUUUUCACUUUCAUGUUGGUGAUUGAUACUGGCUGGAGGCUGCAGGCUGGAGACCUCAGCUCAACUCCCUGUAGACCUCUGCAGGUGGUCUCUUAAUGUGGACUUGGUUGGGCUCCUCACAGCAUGAGGGUUAGGUUCUAAGGGUGAGUAUCCUAAGAGAGCGAGAGCCAGGUAGAAGCAUAUUAUGGUUUAUCUGCCUUAGAAGUCAUGCAGUGUCAAUUCUGCUGCGUUCUCUUUACCCAGGCCCUUAUAAAGCCUCAUCCAGGUUCAGAGGCAGGGGAGAUAGAUUCUACUUCUUGAUAGGGAGAAGCAAAGUUUGUAGAGAACAUGUGGGACCAGAAAUACUGCUGUGGCCAUUUUUAGAAAACACACAUUGUCUUAAGUGCUUAAGACCGCCUAAACACCCUAAGGAGGUAAAAUAAACUAAUAAGUACAAUGGGACCCCAUUGACGGUUUUUAAAAAGUACAAAAUAAAACCAUAUUUUCAAAGGUACAUGCAUUGUUUAACAAUACAUAUGACAUAGUUUCUAAGUUUAACCUGGGGGGCCAGCCAAGGAAACAAUGAUCUGUUCAAGUAGUGCAGGGGAAAAAACGGCCAAAGUGUCUCCACACAAUUCCCCAAGACAUGUUUAAUUUUUACCUAGCAAAAUGCCUCUCCGUAUCUGUGGAAUAACCCUGUCCUAAGAAAGAUACGACUCCACUGUAAUGAAUGAGCGGCACCAAGUCUUACUGUUCUUUCCAUAUUGUCACGUGGCACUGAGCUUUCCCACACCCAGGGGCUCACUUAAUGUUGUCCCACAGUUAUUUUCAGAGAGAUGAGAAUUAUAAAGACCUACUUGAGGUCAGUGACUGAGUCUUCUUCACUUAUUAUUCACAUAUUUAAUAUAUAAAAGGGGACCUAUUGGGUUUUCUUUUCUUUUUUUUUUUUUAACUACAUUAUGCUAUUCUCUCAGCAGUGCAGGAUGUUUACAAUUACAAAGUAAAUUCUGGCCUCCUUCCUAGUGAAUAAGCUAAUAGGAUCUCUGACAUCUAAGCUCCAGUGACUUGUUUUACAUCCCGGUAUCAAGAUCCCAAUGAUGAUCCAUCGACAUCAGAAGACUUCCCUAAGAAAUCUGUCCUUAUAUUUGUAAAGUAUUUUCAAGCUCAUGUUUGUGAGUAAUAUGCUGAUAUGGUGAUAGCAUUAUUUUAGGUAUAGAAAUAGGAUUAAUUCACUUCAGCGCUUUGGGCAUGUUUGCCUAUUUUGAGGCAUUGAAAAGGCAACUAUCUCCGUGAGCAAUGACUUCAUGGGAAGGAGGAAGAAAUGGUCUUGGGGACAUUGGGGUCUUGGGGACUGUCAAGGGACAGUCUUUUGUCUGGAUAAUUAGUAUUUUCAUUGCUUGGCAAUAUCUUAUGAUACAAUAGUCACUUAGUUACUAUUGUCUUUGUUCUCUUUUGAAUAAUGAAAGGAUACACCUUAAGUUUUUUUUUUUUAGAAGAAAAAACUCCUCAUUAAAUCACCUAAAAUAACCAACAUCAAUUUUGAAACAAUAUCCUCAAGCAGCUUCCUUAAGUUAGCUUGAAAGGAGAAAAGUUCCUUCCUAAUUCUAACAACUAGACAUUUUUCUCUUAUUGGCCAGUUUUCAUAAAGGUAACUGGGAAUGAAGAUGUUAAUAACAGAGAGAUGUUUUAAGUUAUCUUGACUCAGCAGGAUGCCAUGUUAUGUGCCAUAGGCACAUAUACUGAAUAAUUUAAAUAUUUGUAUAGUUUUAUGUGCCAUGGGUCUCUUAAUCCUACUAAUCCUAUCUAUUAUACAUAAAGCCUUGAAUAUGAGUGUUCUUUGUUUUAUCUUAGAUGAAAGAAAGGGGAUACAUCGAAUUUGAGGUCUAUAGAAUUUAAUCAAAGGAUGAAUAUAAGGAUGUUGUUUUACCACCUGCAAUCCUGGAACACUACGAGAUUCCCAGAACUCAGAAGUUAUUGCCCAUGUUGUGCCCGGCAUGUAUCUAUGAAGAUUUGCAUGCUUCUUUUUCUACAUGGAUCUUCCCUGCCAAAGCUUUUUCGGAACCUUGGGAGGACCCAACUACCUGAAGAGAAAACACAGAGGCAAAUCUCAAACUAUGGAUUCAAAAUUAUCAAGGAAGGGGAGAAGGGGAAACAAAAUAGGGUAAUGUAUACUUAGUACGUAAAAGUGCUUUCAUAUAUUACGUAUGUUAGGGUGGAAGUUAAAUAUUGCAACAACUGUUUCGCUAAGAAAUUUGUAUUUCUCUCUCCCUCCAAAUUUCAGACAUUUGGAAGCAAAAAAUAUUCCUUUACGUGUAUACACUUACCACGUUAGAUGUUCAGGUUUCUGGAAUUCUGUUUGUCAGAUAGACCUGCACAGAUAUGAUGUUGCCCUUCUGAUGCCCUUCUUUGUUUGCCCGGUGAACAUCUACUAGCACUUCUUUGAACAAUUUCUGUAUUAAUAAACGUAUAGAGGGGCGCCUGGGUGGCUCAGUCGGUUAAGCGUCCGACUUCGGCUCAGGUCAUGAUCUCACGGUUCGUGAGUUCGAGCCCCGCAUCAGGCUCUGUGCUGAUGGCUCAGAGCCUGGAGCCUGU
Long non-coding RNA from Felis catus (domestic cat), 4189 nucleotides. RefSeq lists it as uncharacterized. The transcript is spliced from 4 exons. NCBI's taxonomy places the organism in Eukaryota, Metazoa, Chordata, Mammalia, Carnivora, Felidae. The record is from RefSeq and is a predicted model, not a curated record.